UACGUAGGGUGCAAGCGUUGUCCGGAAUCACUGGGCGUAAAGGGCGCGUAGGCGGCCUGAUAAGUAGGGGGUGAAAUCUUGCGGCUUAACCGCAAGGCUGCCUUCUAAACUGUCAGGCUAGAGCACAGUAGAGGCAGGUGGAAUUCCCGGUGUAGCGGUGGAAUGCGUAGAGAUCGGGAAGAACAUCAGUGGCGAAGGCGGCCUGCUGGGCUGUUGCUGACGCUGAGGCGCGACAGCGUGGGGAGCAAACAGG
RNAcentral lists this ribosomal RNA (253 nucleotides) under uncultured bacterium. RNAcentral describes it as "partial 16S ribosomal RNA". It matches the Rfam family "Bacterial small subunit ribosomal RNA", at positions 524 to 776 of the family's 1533-position model. The record is from RNAcentral.